Molecule: long non-coding RNA, 642 nt
Filed under: Struthio camelus australis
Lineage: Eukaryota; Metazoa; Chordata; Aves; Struthioniformes; Struthionidae
Description: lncRNA (ENSSCUG00000005460.1)
Source: RNAcentral
CACAUGCUUAUACACGGCUUUACAUUCCCCAGUGACGGCUGCAAGGAGUUUCCAAAUACCGGCUCGGUUUUCUUCAGCUCCUCACAACUCGCCCCAGAAGAGACGACUGUUUAGGACGGUCUGCAGGGCAGUCGGAGACACCUCCAGAGACCCUGAAUGAGAUGGAGACUCGGUCAUGCCCUCCCUGGACAAGGCUCCGUGGAGAAAUGUCCCAUGUCACAAGGACUCAGGAAAGUGACAGAAGCCUGAGUGAAAACUGGAAGGAAUCACCUACUUUCAGCCUCAAGGCCUGAAGUGCCCUCUUGCUUUCAGCGCCACACUAAGGAAUUGAAUGACUCAUCUCAGGUUUGGAAGCUUCCUGGACUGUUAAGCAAGGAAUCAGCAAAAAAAAAAUUCACGAUAUGAAUGUCAAAAGCAUCCUGUAAUGGACAAAUUAAAUCCACAGGCAAAGUCAUUUUUAAAAGGUAGGACUUGCUCCUUGUUCACACAGUGACAUGGCUUGGCUGGACAUGGUAAUUCUUCCUAAGCCAGCCUGCAUUACGCUCUGGUAAAAGGUGGGAUAAUACUUAACAUGGAUACAGUUUGAUAUAUUUUUCAGUAGAAAGAAAUAAAUGGAUUUAGGAUUUUUUUGGCUUUGUUUCU